GAGUAAUUAAUUCAAUAGGUAGAAUAUUUCAUUUACAUUGAAAAAGUUAUUGGUUCGAGUCCAUAUAUUACUUA
Molecule: transfer RNA, 74 nt
Filed under: Rhodomelopsis africana
Lineage: Eukaryota; Rhodophyta; Florideophyceae; Ceramiales; Rhodomelaceae
Description: tRNA-Val
Rfam family: tRNA
About the family: Transfer RNA (tRNA) molecules are approximately 80 nucleotides in length. Their secondary structure includes four short double-helical elements and three loops (D, anti-codon, and T loops).
Source: RNAcentral